UUCUGUUUUUUGCUGUUCUAAAUAUUGACGCACCCUAACUUAGUCAUCUCACUAUCUGCACUUGCUUAUCACUGUCUUCGCAAAGCUCUUGCAAAAGCUCGGCUUACCAUGCAGGGCAGUGGCGUAUAGUCGAAAGCUUAGCAGUAGAGAAAAGCAAUUAGACAAAGUAGACGUAUUUAUUGUCUCUCGGCAACCGAAUUUGUAUAUUCUGCCAUAUUAUAAUCUGGCAGAGAAAACCAGAUCACCACCAUAAUAGUGAGAAUAUAUGCGAGAAUAGACGUAUAUACAUAUAUUUAUAUAUAAAUGAAUAGUGCAGUGAUAAAUUCGAAAACUAAUACAGUUCGGCUCAUCGAACUCGUCACUGACGGAUGUUAGCCUCUCUCUAGUGGUCCAAUCAAACUCUAUGACAACUAUAGAGCGCUGUGUGACCCUAGUGAACUCUAGUAUCAAUAAUCCAUUGGGUGCACGAAUUUGGUUGGACGUCACAACAAGGUUGGCUGCUCAUCGGAGCACCAAAGACUCUGAUUCUGACAUACACACAAAGAUCACGGCCUGGCAUUAAAUUGAUUAUUAAUGGAUCGUAUGUGCCUGAAGAUCAGGCAUACACUGGAUGAGUAGCUCGUUGUACAACAACAGUACAACAAUCCACAAUGCAACAACAAUAAAUUCUUUUUUGUAUAUAGUAUCAAUCAUUCCAUAAUUGUUUGCUAUGAUUUGCUGAGAAGCGACACGAAUUUCAUCGUCUGUAUCUUCUUGUUAUUUUGUACUAAAUUAGUAAACAUAAAAGCAAUAAUUGUAAUAGAAAA
This is a long non-coding RNA of Drosophila albomicans, 806 nucleotides long. RefSeq lists it as uncharacterized. The record is from RefSeq and is a predicted model, not a curated record. NCBI's taxonomy places the organism in Eukaryota, Metazoa, Arthropoda, Insecta, Diptera, Drosophilidae. The transcript is spliced from 2 exons.